RNAcentral lists this long non-coding RNA (918 nucleotides) under Homo sapiens (human). Its description in RNAcentral is "HSALNT0254402". The record is from RNAcentral. Lineage: Eukaryota; Metazoa; Chordata; Mammalia; Primates; Hominidae.
CGUGAACCUAGGAGGCAGAGCUUGCAGUGAGCUGAGAUCGUGACACUGCACUCCAGCCUGGGCGACAGAGGGAGACUCUGUCUGAAAGAAAAAAAAAAGAAAUAUAAGUACGGUAAAGGGAAAAACAACAACUUGCUCGAGAUAAGCCCUGUUUACUUGGGGGCCUCGCUUUUCCAUGUGUGUUUGCCCAGCUCAUCCUGAGGCUGCCCACACGGCUGUGGGUCCUGCUUUAUCACCCAGCAGCAGAUGCCUCUGCGGCUUUGUGGCCAAACCCUGGCCCUGCACAGCCUCCUUGUGGCCUGAGCUUAUUGCAGGCUGCACGGUGCACAUUACAAAUGGUCAGUUGGAGCCACCACGCUUGGCCAUUUUCCUGCUUGCUUUCAUUUUUUUUUGAGACAGUGUCUUGCUCUGUCCCCCAGGCUGGAGUGCAGUGGUGUGAUCACAGCUCACUGCAGCCUUGACCUCCUGGGCUCAAGUGAUCCUCUUGGUUCAGCCUCCCAAGUAGCUGGGAUCACAGAUGCCCACCCAAUCCCAGCUAAUUAAAAUUUUUUUAAUUUUUUAAAAUUUCUAGAAGUUUUUAAAAUUCUCAACAAAGUGAGAACCUAGAGAUAGGGUCUUGCUAUGUUGGCCAGGCUGGUCUGCAACUCCUGGGCUCAAGCGAUCUUCUUGCUUCAGCCUCCCAAAGUGCUGGGAUUACAGGCGUGAGCCACUGUGCGCGGCCCCAAUCCUUCUUUAUUUUUACCUGUUUACAUUUUAUUUUAUUUAACUCAUUAUUAUAAUUCUUUUAGAGACAAGGUCUCCCUCUGUCACCCAGGCUGCAGUGCAGUUGAGAGACCAUAGUUCACUGCAGCCUUGACCUUCCUGGCUCAGGGGAUCCUCCUGCCUCAGCCGCUGGAGUAGCUGGAACUACAGGUGUGC